GACGAACGCUGGCGGCGUGCCUAAUACAUGCAAGUCGAGCGGACGGAUGGGAGAUUGCUCCCAGACCGUCAGCGGCGGACGGGUGAGUAACACGUGGGCAACCUGCCUGUAAGACUGGGAUAACUCCGGGAAACCGGGGCUAAUACCGGAUAACUCUUUCCCUCACAUGAGGGAAAGCUGAAAGAUGGCAUCUCGCUAUCACUUACAGAUGGGCCCGCGGCGCAUUAGCUAGUUGGUGAGGUAACGGCUCACCAAGGCGACGAUGCGUAGCCGACCUGAGAGGGUGAUCGGCCACACUGGGACUGAGACACGGCCCAGACUCCUACGGGAGGCAGCAGUAGGGAAUCUUCCGCAAUGGACGAAAGUCUGACGGAGCAACGCCGCGUGAGUGAUGAAGGUUUUCGGAUCGUAAAACUCUGUUGUCAGGGAAGAACAAGUACCGGAGUAACUGCCGGUACCUUGACGGUACCUGAACAGAAAGCCACGGCUAACUACGUG
RNAcentral lists this ribosomal RNA (498 nucleotides) under uncultured bacterium. RNAcentral describes it as "partial 16S ribosomal RNA". It matches the Rfam family "Bacterial small subunit ribosomal RNA", at positions 28 to 507 of the family's 1533-position model. The record is from RNAcentral.